UGCCUAGUGGCCCAGCGGUCAAGGCGUCUGACUGUUACUUGCAGAAUAUCAGAAGAUCCCUGGUUCGAUCCCAGGCUAGGCAG
Molecule: non-coding RNA, 83 nt
Organism: Hypoxylon sp. NC0597
Lineage: Eukaryota; Fungi; Ascomycota; Sordariomycetes; Xylariales; Hypoxylaceae
Source: the annotation of a GenBank genome assembly